Long non-coding RNA from Pollicipes pollicipes, 364 nucleotides. RefSeq lists it as uncharacterized. The transcript has 3 exons. The record is from RefSeq and is a predicted model, not a curated record. Lineage: Eukaryota; Metazoa; Arthropoda; Thecostraca; Pollicipedomorpha; Pollicipedidae.
AAUGUCUUUCAAUCCCAAAAUUCUCCCGAAAGAACCAACAACUACAGUUCACAAUUUGGCAAUGCAUGUCUUCUCCGGAGAUGCCUUGAUCAGCUGGCCGAGUCCAUGGCAGUGCUCGGCAGCCUGGCGUCCUGAGCCGACCCGUGCGAUGCAUUUCUGGGUAGCGAAGCGGAGUCCGCACGCCUGGAGCCAUCACCACGUGUCCUCGGCCUCCUGGUCCAGCGCGCCGCGGCCCCGACCCAAGCGCUCCGCCCCACCCAUGCCGGCGCCCGUGCACAGGUACCCGCCGGUGCCGACGGUACAGCGCGAGGCUUCGCGCCGAUUGGCUGAACACCAGCGGCCGGCGGCCAAUGGCGAAUCGUCG